AGAGUUUGAUCAUGGCUCAGAUUGAACGCUGGCGGCAGGCUUUACACAUGCAAGUCGAACGGAAACGAUGAAAUUGAAGCUUCGGUUGAUAUUUUAGGCGUCGAGUGGCGGACGGGUGAGUAAUGCUUAGGAAUUUGCCCGGUUGAGGGGGACAACAGUUGGAAACGACUGCUAAUACCGCAUACUACCCUACGGGGGAAAGAGGGGGCUCUUCGGACCUCUCGCAAUUGGAGAAGCCUAAGUGAGAUUAGCUAGUUGGUAAGGUAAAGGCUUACCAAGGCGACGAUCUCUAGCUGGUUUGAGAGGAUGAUCAGCCACACUGGGACUGAGACACGGCCCAGACUCCUACGGGAGGCAGCAGUGGGGAAUAUUGCACAAUGGGGGAAACCCUGAUGCAGCCAUGCCGCGUGUGUGAAGAAGGCCUUAGGGUUGUAAAGCACUUUCAGCGAGGAGGAAAGAGAAUAAGCUAAUACCUUAUUCUUGUGACGUUACUCGCAGAAGAAGUACCGGCUAACUCCGUGCCAGCAGCCGCGGUAAUACGGAGGGUACGAGCGUUAAUCGGAAUUACUGGGCGUAAAGCGCAUGCAGGUGGUAUGUUAAGUCAGAUGUGAAAUCCCGGGGCUCAACCUCGGAACUGCAUUUGAUACUGACAAACUAGAGUCUUGUAGAGGGAAGUAGAAUUUCAGKGUAGCGGUGGAAUGCGUAGAGAUCUGAAGGAUACCAGUGGCGAAGGCGGCUUCCUGACAAGACUGACACUCAGAUGCGAAAGCGUGGGGAGCAAACAGAUUAGAUACCCUGUAGUCCACGCCGUAAACGAUGUCUAUUAGAAGUCUGUGAUCUGAAUCGUGGGUUCAAAGCUAACGCAUUAAAUAGACCGCCUGGGGAGUACGGCCGCAAGGUUAAAACUCAAAUGAAUUGACGGGGGCCCGCACAAGCGGUGGAGCAUGUGGUUUAAUUCGAUGCAACGCGAAGAACCUUACCUACUCUUGACAUCCAAAGAAUCCUUUAGAGAUAGAGGAGUGCCUUCGGGAACUUUGAGACAGGUGCUGCAUGGCUGUCGUCAGCUCGUGUUGUGAAAUGUUGGGUUAAGUCCCGCAACGAGCGCAACCCUUAUCCUAUGUUGCCAUCAAGUAAAGUUGGGGACUCAUGGGAGACUGCCGGUGAUAAACCGGAGGAAGGUGGGGACGACGUCAAGUCAUCAUGGCCCUUACGAGUAGGGCUACACACGUGCUACAAUGGGCAGUACAAAGGGUUGCAAACCAGCGAUGGUAAGCUAAUCUCAUAAAGCUGCUCGUAGUCCGGAUUGGAGUCUGCAACUCGACUCCAUGAAGUCGGAAUCGCUAGUAAUCGUGAAUCAGAAUGUCACGGUGAAUACGUUCCCGGGCCUUGUACACCCCGCCCGUCACACCAUGGGAGUGGGUUGCACCAGAAGUAGAUAGCUUAACCUUCGGGGGGGCGUUUACCACGGUGUGAUUCAUGACUGGGGUGAAGUCGUAACAAGGUAACCGUA
This 1510-nucleotide ribosomal RNA is filed under the name uncultured bacterium. Its description in RNAcentral is "bacterial SSU rRNA". It matches the Rfam family "Bacterial small subunit ribosomal RNA". The record is from RNAcentral.